UUCUUGCGUUUCAUGGGUCCUCUGUUUUCAACGCAAUUUCAAUUGCGAAAAGCACAGCAUUUCAUUUCAAACCAAAACAGCAAUCGACCAUGAAGAAGAAGAAGGAGAAGAAGCAACAGCAGAAUGAGAAUCAUGAGAGCAAGAGCAUUGACGACAUUCUCCCUCUUGAGCUGAUUCACAGAAUCCUACUUAGGGUUCCUGUCAAAUAUCUCGGUCGCCUCAAGUGCGUUUCGAAGCUUUGGAACACUCUCAUUUCGGAUCCCGAUUUUGCGAAAUCGCAUCUUCACCUCUCUGCCGCAACCACCCAUGUAUGCCUCUUCAUAACUGACUGCUCCAAUGCCUUUUCCGUUGACAUUGACCCAGUAUUUCACCGCCACACUGCACUAAAAGAGGUAUCUCUCCCUUUCAAGGAGAACACACCUUUGGAUUUUACAGUUAUGUGCUCCUGCAGAGGGCUUGUUCUCUUACACAGUGCCCCGCAUUUUUUUAUCGUAUGGAACCCACUAACUGGAUCCAGCAAAAGAGUUUCCUACUCUCACAUUGUUUCUCGUGGUCAUCGCAAGUACUCUGACUUUAUUUUUCGUUUUCGUCGCAAGGACUUUAUGUCUGUGUGUUUGUAUGGAUUUGGUUAUGAUGCUUCACAGGAUGACUACUUAGUUGUUGUAGCUUCUCAGGAUAAGAAUGACCAAGAGCACUUUGAUUGCUUGUCUUUGAGAACCAAUUCAUGGACUAAUCUUGAUUUUGCACUCUCCAAACCCUUGGGUAUUAGCAACUGGCAAUCUGGUGGGUUCUUCUUGAAUGGCGCUAUUCAUUGGUCGUCUCCCACUCUUAGUGUUAGAGAUUAUAGUAUUCUUAUAUUUGAUUUGAAGGAAAGAAGUUUCUCAACCAUAUCUAUGCCUGAACAAGUGAUGGGUUAUCUCGAGCCCACUCUUCUCGUCCUACUAGGAGGGUGCCUGGCUUUGUAUUCUUCUGAUCGCGGUAAAACUAACAUAUGGGUGAUGAGAGAAUACAAAGUGCAUUCAUCUUGGACUUUUUAUCAGAUUCCUCGUGGACAUUCUGCGCCUCUAUGCUUAUCCAAUGGUAGUGACAUUGUUGCACAAAAUUCUCUUCUGUUACCUAAAGAUUCCUACUUAAGGUUGGCCAAAUAUAAUGUCAGAGGAGAGCUCCUCCAACGCAGAAUGUUUUAUGAUCAUCAUCUGGUACAUGUUAAAGCUCGUCCGAGGUCUAUAUCGUCCAGAACAAGCUACAUUGUAUACACAGAGAGUCUCGUGCAAGUCCCCAGUGAGAUUAAGGAUAAGGAUGAGGAUAAGAAGAAGAAAAAUGUUAUAUCUUUUUUAUAGGCCAUCAGAAUCAGAAGAACGAUGUCAAACAAGAAAAGAGAACUAGGAGCGAAUGUGGUACGAGUAUAGCUGAAUGCAAGGAAGGAAGUGAGAGGCAUGCAACCUUAGCAAAAGAGGUUGCAACUAACUCGGGACAGAUGGCAGACGAUCCUCAAAUUCAGGGCCUCAGAAGAAGCGUGAGAUUGAGAAAGAGGUGAAAUAGCAAGCUGCUGAGGGAAUUCAGGCAGUUAUGGAUUCUUCCCAGUGCUGCAACCUGAUUCUAUGGAUUCUGAUCUCCCUAUUUCUUUUAAUUCCAUCGCAUUUACUGUUACAUUGAAGAACUCUAUUUUGUUUCUGUUCUUAGAGCUCAAGUCACUGAUGAGCUUCAUUUCCUUAUGAUUGUUCUUAGUUCUGAACUCUAAGCUUGUGUUACUGGCUUAAAUUCCUCUAUUCAAUAUACAUACCACUUCACUGUUUUUUU
This is a non-coding RNA of Arachis ipaensis, 1800 nucleotides long. NCBI's taxonomy places the organism in Eukaryota, Viridiplantae, Streptophyta, Magnoliopsida, Fabales, Fabaceae. The record is from RefSeq and is a predicted model, not a curated record.